UCCUCUUGCCUCUGUGUUGUGUAUCUCUCUCCCGACCCCUAUAAAUAUCUCGUGGUACUCGGGAAGUUCGUCAAGGAAGAACAAGAGAUGCCAGUCUCAUUGUAUAUAAUACUACUAGUUAUAGAGAGUGAGUGACAACUAGUAGCUAGCAGUUGUUUGAUAUAAUAUGAUAAACAGGCUGCAGGUCAUACAGGCAAUAUUAUGCAUGCCAAUAUGUUGCCUUUAUCUGCAUUUGCACCUGCAUCUUUUGCGUUUGUUUUGUUUUUGACUCCACAAACAAAAUCAAGUUCUGUCGAUACAGUAUGUGGGACAAUUAGAUAUGGAAACUAAUAAGCUUAGUUGAGGUGCAGGUGCAAGUGCAGGUGAAUGCCAUUUUGCCACAAUUCAAUGGAUGUGGAAGAAUAUUUCAAGGGUUUUCCAGUAAUCUUUGAAUUAAGUACUUGGAGGACAGAUCAUCCAUGAUCAAUACGCAAGGCGCCUGUGCUAGAUAUGUAGAUCUCUUGAUCUUCCAUUUGAAGCUAGGGUUUUCAAGCUAAUAUAUAUAGAAAGUACAUUCCCUCUCUGCAUCCCUCCCUCCCUCCCUCUCUCUCACUGUCUCCCUCUCUCUCUCACACAGGCAGUACCAUUGCCAAAUAGGAGGAACAUCCAUUCUAAGUUCUAAUGUUGACAUUGGUUGUUCUACAGUUAAAAAUCUCCAUGAUUGGAAGAAAAGUCGAGCACAAAUAUUUAUGAUUU
Long non-coding RNA from Populus trichocarpa (black cottonwood), 735 nucleotides. RefSeq lists it as uncharacterized. The transcript is spliced from 2 exons. NCBI's taxonomy places the organism in Eukaryota, Viridiplantae, Streptophyta, Magnoliopsida, Malpighiales, Salicaceae. The record is from RefSeq and is a predicted model, not a curated record.